This is a non-coding RNA of Tachysurus fulvidraco (yellow catfish), 924 nucleotides long. The record is from the annotation of a RefSeq genome assembly. Lineage: Eukaryota; Metazoa; Chordata; Actinopteri; Siluriformes; Bagridae.
CUCCCUACUCUGACAUCUUUUUUAGGCUAAAUGCUGGUGGUGACAGCGAAGUGGUGCUGUUGACCAGAACUGAAAAAAGAACCUGGACAUUUUUUGGCCAAUACAGUCUGCAGACAAUCAAUUAGUCUUCACAGGGUCUACAACCUCUAUGAAAACAGUGGUCCAUGUGUGAAAUAACCGAAACACUAUUCAUUUUCAUAAUAGUGUGAGUUAAUAUAUGUUCCCCCUCGAGCAGCUCAGUCACCACCCCAGGAAAUGACAUCAUUACUUUAUAAAUGAGAUUCAUGUUCUAAACUUGUAUUCCUGCAGAAACAGGCACAAUAAAGGCUGCUGAACUGAGAGCAAACUUUUAUAUAUUUCAUGACAAAAAUGUUUAAUAUUAUAUACAUUUAUGCGGUUCUCUUGUCUUUAGUCACAGAAGCUGUUCUGGGAGUGACACUGGAGCAAAAAGAUCUCUUUAUGACAAAAGGUGAGGACAAAACUGUGUAUAUCAGCUGCAAAGUGACCGGAUUAAGCACUAGCUAUGUCCACUGGUACCAAAAGAAAGACGGUGAAGCUCUCACAAGGAUCCUAUACGUCAAAAGUGGAAGCUCACCGGUUGAGGAUCCUAACCAUCCUGAAGCAAAAGACUUCAGUGUUAGGAUACAGUCAGAUAAUUAUGAGCUGAAGAUAGCAAGACUGAAGAAAAGUCACUCAGCAGUGUAUUACUGUGCCAGCUGGGAGAGCGGUGCACAGUGAAUGAAUUAAUUACAGUGUAAACAAAAAACCUGAUGAUACACAACCACAACAGAAAAAGUGUGUGUUUGGAGUAGCAAAGUUUGUUAAGCUGACUCUUACAUUAGAUGUUAAUCAGCUAGGCAAAAACAAACCUUUACAAUUUCAAUAAUAUAAGAAAACCAAAGCAUUUUGGUCUUUAUUUCUAUU